AAACUUUCUACAACGGAUCUCUUGGGUCUGGCAUCUAGGAAAAACGCACCGAAAUGCGAUAAAUAAAGUGAAUUGCAGAAUUCAAUGAAUCAUCUAAUCUUUGAACGCACAUUGUGCCCCGCGGGAUUCCCCGGGGGAUGCCUGUUCGAGCGUCACUA
RNAcentral lists this ribosomal RNA (158 nucleotides) under uncultured Chalara. RNAcentral's name for it is "5.8S ribosomal RNA". It matches the Rfam family "5.8S ribosomal RNA". From Rfam's summary of the family: 5.8S ribosomal RNA (5.8S rRNA) is a component of the large subunit of the eukaryotic ribosome. It is transcribed by RNA polymerase I as part of the 45S precursor that also contains 18S and 28S rRNA. Functionally, it is thought that 5.8S rRNA may be involved in ribosome translocation. RNAcentral also lists the same sequence under 1 other name. Lineage: Eukaryota; Fungi; Ascomycota; Leotiomycetes; Helotiales. The record is from RNAcentral.